CAAGCUGCGGAGGGACGCAGUGAGGUAGCUCAUCCCCGGUGAUGGUUGUCCGGGGCUAAGUGUGUGGACUGUCUGGUAGGUAAAUCCGCUGGGCGUGAAGGUUGAGGCAUGAUGGGGAGCCCACGGUUGUGGGUGAGUGAGUGAUCCUGUACUGUCGAGAAAAGCUUCGUGAGCGAGGUGGCGGGUCCGCCCGUACCCUAAACCGACACUGGUGGAUAGGUAGAGUAUACCGAGGCGAUCGAGUGAAUCGUGGUGAAGGAACUCGGCAAAAUGCCCCCGUAACUUUGGGAUAAGGGGGACCUGAGCUGUCGUGCACCCGUGCGGUGUGGUGGCGGUGAGGGGCGCAGAGUCCAGGGGGAAACGACUGUUUACCAAAAACACAGGUCCGUGCGAAGUCGUAAGACGAUGUAUACGGACCGACUCCUGCCCGGUGCUGGAAGG
RNAcentral lists this ribosomal RNA (441 nucleotides) under Oxyrrhis marina. RNAcentral's name for it is "partial Bacterial large subunit ribosomal RNA". It matches the Rfam family "Bacterial large subunit ribosomal RNA", at positions 1458 to 1876 of the family's 2925-position model. Lineage: Eukaryota; Dinophyceae; Oxyrrhinales; Oxyrrhinaceae. The record is from RNAcentral.